This 429-nucleotide ribosomal RNA is filed under the name uncultured bacterium. RNAcentral describes it as "bacterial SSU rRNA". It matches the Rfam family "Bacterial small subunit ribosomal RNA", at positions 100 to 518 of the family's 1533-position model. The record is from RNAcentral.
GCACGGGUGAGGUAACGCGUAUAGCGAACCUAGCCUACAACACGGGGAAUAACCCGUUGAAAGACGGACUAAUACCCCAUAAGUACAGGGAUCCCGCAUGGGAAUAGUUUGUUAAAAGAUUUAUCGGUUGUAGAUGGGCAUGCGUUCCAUUAGCUAGUUGGUGAGGUACGGCUCACCAAGGCAACGAUGGAUAGGGGAACUGAGAGGUUUAUCCCCCCACACUGGUACUGAGACACGGACCAGACUCCUACGGGAGGCAGCAGUGAGAAUAUUGGUCAAUGGACGCAAGUCUGAACCAAGCCACGUCGCGUGAAGGAAGACGGCCCUACGGGUUGUAAACCUCUUUUGUAAGGGAAUAAAGUGAGCCACGUGUGGCUUUUUGCAUGUACCUUACGAAUAAGGAUCGGCUAACUCCGUGCCAGCCGCCGC